GUGUCCGGCCUUUGCAGUAUGGCCACUAGUGGUUCUCUGCUCUCUGCUUGACCUUAGUCAUGGGAGGCACCAGUGCAAGAUUGGCUCACCGGUGGCAGGUAGGAGUGGGUCAGGUUGGUCAUCCCUUGGCUCCUUCCCUGCAGGCUCUCUGGUGGUGGGGGGGCAGGGAUUGGAGGGGUGGGAUUGCUUUUUUUUACAAGGCCCAGGUGCUUGCAGUUGGCCUCCUGUGGAGAGCUGGCGUGUCUGGGUCAUCGUACUCCCUCCUUCCCCUUGUCCCCUUAGGAUCAUGGCUACAACAGUUCCCUACUGAAGAGGAGACCUCAACCCCUGUCUGGAUUGUUACACCUGCCUUCACCUCUGCAGACAGCGUGGUUGUUAAACCCUAUUCUCCACGCACUUCCCUUGGUGUGUUAAAUGCUUCACGCAUUGCAGAUGUUGACCAAGAAGACACUACAAAUGUUUCCUAGUAGCCUUCUAAUUUAGCUCUCAAGUUAUGAGAUUACUUUAGGAAAAGAAAUCUGAGAUUUGAUUUCCACAAGAAGUCACCGUUCCCAGAGCAUAUG
RNAcentral lists this long non-coding RNA (563 nucleotides) under Vulpes vulpes (red fox). RNAcentral's name for it is "lncRNA (ENSVVUG00000022545.1)". The record is from RNAcentral. Lineage: Eukaryota; Metazoa; Chordata; Mammalia; Carnivora; Canidae.